This 459-nucleotide ribosomal RNA is filed under the name uncultured bacterium. Its description in RNAcentral is "bacterial SSU rRNA". It matches the Rfam family "Bacterial small subunit ribosomal RNA", at positions 56 to 511 of the family's 1533-position model. The record is from RNAcentral.
UGCAGUCGAGCGGCAGCGGGUCCUUCGGGAUGCCGGCGAGCGGCGGACGGGUGAGGAAUGCAUCGGAAUCUGCCUUUUUGUGGGGGAUAACGUAGGGAAACUUACGCUAAUACCGCAUACGUCCUACGGGAGAAAGUGGGGGACCGCAAGGCCUCACGCAGAAAGAUGAGCCGACGCCGGAUUAGCUAGUUGGCGGGGUAAAGGCCCACCAAGGCGGCGAUCCGUAGCUGGUCUGAGAGGAUGAUCAGCCACACUGGAACUGAGACACGGUCCAGACUCCUACGGGAGGCAGCAGUGGGGAAUAUUGGACAAUGGGCGCAAGCCUGAUCCAGCCAUGCCGCGUGAGUGAAGAAGGCCUUCGGGUUGUAAAGCUCUUUUGUUGGGGAAGAAAAGCAUUCGAUUAAUACUCGGGUGUUCUGACGGUACCCAAAGAAUAAGCACCGGCUAACUUCGUGCCAG